Molecule: long non-coding RNA, 2381 nt
Organism: Macaca fascicularis (crab-eating macaque)
Lineage: Eukaryota; Metazoa; Chordata; Mammalia; Primates; Cercopithecidae
Source: Ensembl
UUUUUUUUUUUUUUUUUUUUUUGAGAUGGAGUCUGACUCUGUCACCCAGGCUGGAGUGCGAUGGUGCAAUCUCAGCUCACUCCAACCUUUGCCUCUCAGGUUCGAGUGAUUCUCUGGCCUCAGCCUCCCAAGUAGCUGGGAUUGCAGGCGCCCGCCACCAUACCCGGCUAAUUUUUUUGGUAUUUUUAGUAGAGAUGGGGUUUUGCCAUGUUGGCCAGGCUGGUCUCAAACUCCUGACCUCAGGUGAUCCACCUUCCUUGGCCUCCCAAAGUGCUGGGGUUACAGGCGUGAGCCACCGUGCCUGACCUUGUUGCUGUUUAUAUUAGGUCAGGGAAGGCCUCACAGAAAAGGUGACGUCUGAACAGAGAGCUGAAGAAAGUGGGGGAGAAGGCGCAUGGACAUUAGAGGGUGGGAAGAUAGGGAAGAGCACAACCCAGAUCAAGGGAGAAGCCAAGUGUAGAGGCCCUGAGGGGACAGCGUGCUGCAUGGGAGGCCGGCCAGCCAGCGGGGGCCCUGGCUGGUGUGCUAGGAGAAUGAGGUUGGAGAGGCAGUGGGGUGGGGUCCUGUGGGGUGCAGACCGUGGGUCAUGUGGGGCUCCACCAUUCCUUCUUGAAGAUGUGCAUGAUUACUGCUUGAUUACUUUCUUGGGCAUCUUGAAAAUCCUGUCCUCCUACCUAUGUCAAAAUGCAGCAGAAAGGAAAAGCCCUAGUCUUACCAGUCUUAACGAGUACAAAUGAAGUUGUUGUACAUUAAUAUCUAAAUCUCAAUGGUUUGAGUUCUCACCUGUGCAAAGGUAGAAAGCCCCAGUUCCAGGAAAAUCCUUUUCCCCCUAGUAUUUCUAGGAAUCCUGGGGGUGUGUGCAUGGUUGUAUGAUCCUACACCAGUUGCCGGGGCUGGUCAAGUCAUGCCUUGGCAGCUUCAGGCUCCAGUGGUCCCACAGGCACACCACAGCAGGGCGCUCCACUCACCUAACCAGCCCCUAGGUCAUCCAGAGGAUUUAUCAUUAUUCUGAGACUCCAUGGGGCCUUGCCUGUGGAUCUAGAAGGGUACCACUGUGCCUCAAUACAAGACACUACUCUUGGGAGGUGAGAACAGGCUCUCCGGGUUCAGAUGAGAGGGGCUGUUCCACAGCAACAUUUUUUGAACUCCAGUGUUACAGUGUCUAUGGACACAGCUUUCAGUUCUUACCUAUAGCCCUUCUCUUCCCAGGGAGCCAACUUACCUUCAAGUUGGCUGGUUCAGGACAUACCUGGACAGCAGCUUGUCUCCAGCCUUCUAUCUUCUUGGGAAGCUGGGCUUGCUGUCAGACUGGUCCUUCUCUUAUGGUAGAUUUUCUCUUGAGGCUCCCAUAGUCUCUGCAAGUGGGCCUCUGCCUGGGCCACUCCAGCACAUCAGGCCUGUCAGUAGUCAAAGCCAAGAGUGACAAAGUUCCCGACUUUCUCCCAGGAUCCCCAGCGCCAAUAAAAAUCAGCGAAUGCGAUGCCUGAGGAGGAUUAUUGCCUCACUAUGUACCAGUACUGCUGAAUCCCAUCUCCCACUCAGCUGGGACCCGCUGCAGUUCUUCCACAGGAUAUGAGCUUUAUCAACAUCCCACGGUUUUUCAUUUCUUCUUCGAGGUGUGAUUACAUUGAGCAGUAACAGCAAAACCUGAAAGAGAAUGGAUACAGGUGUUCAUUUCAGACGGUACAAGUUUAACAAGUCCAAGAGCAACUUAAGGUUCAACACAAAACUUUUAAGAAUAUAUUUAAAUCUUAGUACUUCGUCCAGAAAACACCACAGCAUAACUGAGAGCAUUGGAGGCAGAAAUAAUUUAGUUUAGAUCCAUGAAUUGCUUGCUAUUUACUGUGUGACUCUGGGUAGCCAUUGACUUUAAACCUAUUUUUCCCACUUAUAAAAAGGUAAUGAUGACCACUUGUUGGAAAACUUGAGGGUAAUAGUUGUAAAGGUCAGAGUAAGACCCAGCACCUAGGACCCCACACCUGGUAGGCACAAAGUCAGUUCUGCUUCCUUUCCCUUUCUGUAGAGAAAUGCACAGGAUAUUCCUUAUAUGCCACUUAUGCCAUGGGAUUGACAUAGGUUUGGUCCCUUAUGCUAUUGAUUAGGUUUUGCUCUAAAAAGCUUUAAAAAAGAAAAUUCAUUACUAUAAGAUAAAUUCGAUUCCAAAUUAAUCUUGUUGUAACUCUAAGGUAUGAUUAUGCUGCAAUUCUAGUGUAGUUGGUUCUUAUUUCAUAUUGAACAUCAUUAUGUUCAAUAACCCUUAGCAGGCUUUAACUAUCUCAUAGCUUUCUCUCUGAUUUCCUCAAUAAAAACAAAAUAGCAAUAAUUAGGAAAAAUCAGAAAAUGAAAGCCAAGGAAUGAAAAAUCUGAAUAAAAGCUAUUGC